Transfer RNA from Ovis aries (sheep), 72 nucleotides. It matches the Rfam family "tRNA". From Rfam's summary of the family: Transfer RNA (tRNA) molecules are approximately 80 nucleotides in length. Their secondary structure includes four short double-helical elements and three loops (D, anti-codon, and T loops). The record is from Rfam. Lineage: Eukaryota; Metazoa; Chordata; Mammalia; Artiodactyla; Bovidae.
UCCCUUCUGGCUCAGAUGGGAAAGCAUCUGCCUAUAAUGCAGUAGACCCAGGUUCAAUCCCUGGGUCAGGAA